RNAcentral lists this small nuclear RNA (108 nucleotides) under Moschus moschiferus (Siberian musk deer). The record is from RNAcentral. Lineage: Eukaryota; Metazoa; Chordata; Mammalia; Artiodactyla; Moschidae.
GUGCUCGCUUCAGCAGCACAUAUACUAAAAUUUGGAACGAUACAGAGAAGAUAAGCAUGGCCCUUGCGCAAGGAUGAUGUGCAAAUUUGUGAAGCGUUCCAUAUUUUU